CUUGUCCUCGAAUAGUGCUGGGAUUACAGGUGCGACCCACCACACCCGGCUGCAAUGUUUGUUUUAAUUACUUUUGGCAAGUAUUUCCUGAGUACCCCGAGCGUGCCAGGUGAAGAGAGACGGAUAAUAACAGCGCUAGCCAGCACGUAUUAAGCCUUGCAAAGCUGCACGGGCAUGAACUUGUGGCUUCAACACAACCUUAUGAGGCCCACCACAGCUGCCAAACAUGAGGUGAUGGGACAGCCCUCGUGGCCUCCACCCACCGCCCUGGUGGAGAAGUGAAACAUGAACCCACCAGUGCAAGACAGAGGAAGAGGCACCAGCGAAGGCAAGAAAACUGAAGCUGGACGCUGGCCUCCAGUCCUGUCUUUGCCAUUAGCAGCCCUGGGAUCUUAGUGCCUUCACCAGCCGAGCUUCAGUUUUUCCACCUGUAAAAUGGAGGGUUGAGGCCACAUCUUCCUUUUAGUCCUUCCUCUUCCCUUCCCUCCAGAGCAAGUGGUGUGGAAUUCUAAGGCAAAAGUCACCCUGAUUGAAUGGUGUAGAUUAGUCAAGAACCCAGCACUGAGGUCAGCCUCUGGAAGCAAUUUAAGAUGACCCAAGGAUUUGAGAUUCCAACCUCCUGCAUGCAAGCAGAAGUGCUUCCUCCUACAUAGGGCUGCCCUCCUUCCUGAGCAACUGGGCUGAUUUGUGGAAGAAACAGCUGUGCUUUCUGGUGAGCUCCAAUGCCAAACAUGUAGGCCUUGGAUCAGGCAGGAUGUUCCAUCAGCAGUCAUUGUUCACACCUGUGCUGUAUGGGCCAGGCAUCGAGCCAAUAGUAACACCUCCUUUCACCCCACAACAACCCUGUACCAAGCACACACCCAUUUUAUACCUGAGGAAGCUGAGGCUUGGAGAGGCACCGCGCCCAGGGUCAUGUAACCACAGGUGACAAAAUGAAGAUGCAAAUGCAACCUGAGUGAUUCCUUUUGAUGGAGCCACACCAUUUAAAUCAA
RNAcentral lists this long non-coding RNA (992 nucleotides) under Homo sapiens (human). RNAcentral's name for it is "HSALNT0310080". The record is from RNAcentral. Lineage: Eukaryota; Metazoa; Chordata; Mammalia; Primates; Hominidae.